Molecule: ribosomal RNA, 381 nt
Filed under: uncultured bacterium
Lineage: Bacteria
Description: bacterial SSU rRNA
Rfam family: Bacterial small subunit ribosomal RNA
Source: RNAcentral
GGCGACGGGUGAGUAACACGUUGGAACCUGCCCCAAAGUAAGGGAUAAGCCACCGAAAGGUGGUCUAAUACCUUAUAGUAUCCAUCUCGUAUGGAUUAAAGCUUUAUGCGCUUUGGGAGGGGCCUGCGUUUGAUUAGCUAGUUGGUGAGGUAAAAGCUCACCAAGGCGACGAUCAAUAGCUGGUUUGAGAGGAUGACCAGCCACACUGGGACUGAGAUACGGCCCAGACUCCUACGGGAGGCAGCAGUAAGGAAUCUUCCACAAUGGGGCAACCCUGAUGGAGCAAUACCGCGUGCAGGAUGAAGCGUUUCGGCGUGUAAACUGCUUUUAUCACCGAAGAUUAUGACUGUAGGUGAAGAAUAAGGACCGGCUAACUACGUG